Carassius auratus (goldfish) is the source of this 874-nucleotide long non-coding RNA. RefSeq lists it as uncharacterized. The transcript is spliced from 2 exons. The record is from RefSeq and is a predicted model, not a curated record. NCBI's taxonomy places the organism in Eukaryota, Metazoa, Chordata, Actinopteri, Cypriniformes, Cyprinidae.
GAUGAUCUCAGAAAAGUUUUCCAGCGCGAACGUGGUGGUGGUUCAAGAGGUUGCCACUCUCUGACUCUGAUCAUGAAUCGCCCGGGGACUUGAUGAGAGAGCUGAAGUCACUGGUACAGUAGCUGAUCAUUGUAUGAACUGGAUAUACAUGGAGGCUGUUCUCAUCCAGAGACAAUACAUAUUUCAGACACUCACCUCAUUUUGCAUUGCUUCAUUCCAUGCUUACUUUGACACAACUUUCCUUGUCUUUUCUAUUUGUGUUAAAUUCAUAAAGCAAUUACUUCUGUACUUGUCAUAGUAACAUUUAAUGAAUGUAAUAUUUGUUUUCUACAAUAUUGUUUUUUUGAGUAUAAUUUUAAGCAGUAAACAUACUUAAAGAUAACAUGUUAUUUGUUAACCUGCAUGCCAUGUUACUAUUAAUACACAUCAGAGAACUGUCAACAUUAAAGAGUGUUGUUAAAUUAUUGAAAUAUUAACUUUAAUGAAUCUCAGAGAAUAUUAAUUUCGGUAAGUGACAGGAGAACAGAGUUUGGCUGACAAAGAAACAUUUGGGUUUCAUUGUAUGUAAUAGUUGUAAAAUGUGAAAAAAAAAAAUUUUGAAUAAGAUUUUCAAAUGUUAAACAUUAUUUACACAAUGAAUCACUAUUCAUUAUUCUUAGACAUGACAUGAUGAGGUUGUUGUUCAGUGCCUAUGGUCAAAGAACAGAGAUAAUGUAUGCUUAUGAUAUUCAUAAUUAUUAUAUUUAUUAUUAGUAGUUCUUUCUCAGAUUGUCUAAACCGUUUAGCUCUGUAUUUGACUGUUAACUCAAUGCAAUAAAGAAAAAGGUGUCCAUUUUAAAAACUGUUAAUUUAAAUAUAAAAAUUAACUCACGUU